This is a non-coding RNA of Vicia faba (fava bean), 252 nucleotides long. NCBI's taxonomy places the organism in Eukaryota, Viridiplantae, Streptophyta, Magnoliopsida, Fabales, Fabaceae. The record is from the annotation of a GenBank genome assembly.
AUGCCAUUGUUGAUUCUGGAGGCAUCAAGGACCACAAAGGUAGACCUAUUGAUGGAUAAGGCAGAAAGAGAAAGGAUUAAGCGAGAACCAACCAUUUUCCUAGAAUGGACCGGAAAUAUAUCGAUUGGAUCGAAUAUUCCUGCUGCUUUUUCGAGUCAUGAUGAUAAAAUCAUAAGUGGAAGUGGUAUAACUAAAGGGCACCAUGCCUUAGUUACUUGUUUGUGGCAAUUCUACUUUGAACCCUUAUCCUAA